UACGGAGGGUGCGAGCGUUGUCCGGAAUCACUGGGCGUAAAGGGCGCGUAGGUGGCGCGGAGAGUCAACGGUGAAAGCUCGGGGCUCAACCCCGAGUCGGCCGUCGAUACUUCCGGGCUGGAGCACUGUAGAGGCAGGUGGAAUUCCGGGUGUAGCGGUGGAAUGCGUAGAGAUCCGGAAGAACACCGGUGGCGAAGGCGGCCUGCUGGGCAGUUGCUGACACUGAGGCGCGACAGCGUGGGGAGCAAACAGG
Molecule: ribosomal RNA, 253 nt
Filed under: uncultured bacterium
Lineage: Bacteria
Description: partial 16S ribosomal RNA
Rfam family: Bacterial small subunit ribosomal RNA
Source: RNAcentral